AGAUAAAAAUUUCAUAAAUUUCUACUAUUAAAAAUUGGUGUGGCUGACGAAAUAACUAGAUAGGUACAUAUGAUGUGUCACAUGUAUCUCAUGUCAAUGUAUAGAAACCAAUUUUUAAGAGUAGAAAUAGAUGAAACUUAUAAUA
Gossypium arboreum is the source of this 145-nucleotide microRNA precursor. It matches the Rfam family "MIR7502 microRNA precursor family". The record is from Rfam. Lineage: Eukaryota; Viridiplantae; Streptophyta; Magnoliopsida; Malvales; Malvaceae.